RNAcentral lists this unclassified non-coding RNA (329 nucleotides) under soil metagenome. Its description in RNAcentral is "partial contains 5.8S ribosomal RNA, internal transcribed spacer 2, and large subunit ribosomal RNA". The stretch from base 1 to 120 matches the Rfam family "5.8S ribosomal RNA", at positions 35 to 154 of the family's 154-position model. The record is from RNAcentral.
GAUGAAGAACGCAGCGAAAUGCGAUAAGUAAUGUGAAUUGCAGAAUUCAGUGAAUCAUCGAAUCUUUGAACGCGCAUUGCGUCCCUUGGUAUUCCGAGGGGCAUGCCUGUUCGAGCGUCAUUAUAACCCCUCAAGCUCAGCUUGGUGUUGGGGCCUGCUGCACUGGCAGCCCUUAAAAUCAGUGGCGGCGCCAUCUGGCUCUAAGCGUAGUAAUUCUUCUCGCUAUGGAGUCCUGGUGGAUGCUUGCCAUCAACCCCCAAUUUUUCUAUGGUUGACCUCGGAUCAGGUAGGGAUACCCGCUGAACUUAAGCAUAUCAAUAAGCGGAGGA